GGUGCUAUUCGAGGACAGAUCAGGGCACGUGUGUGCCAUCCUCCUGCCACCGCUGCUGGGCAUUUCUAACAAAUGGCCGUGCAAAAGGUAUCCUGCCGAAGCUGCGUGUGUCCCCUGGGACAUGCUGUGGGGCAGCGCCACUAAUUCACAGCUCUCCUGGAGCAGGAACAAAAUCCACACGAUGUACUGCUCUUACUGGUUACAUGGGAUGUACUGGUCUGUCCGUACGCUGAGACAGAAUCUGUAUGACUUCAUUUUGCAUUCAUCUAUGUUUCUGAAGGCACCUGCUGUUCAGGAGGCGUUUCUCUCUGCUGCUGAAGCUUUCUCGGAGCAGAAAAAAGUUUCUCAGUGUGGCAAGUGAAGCAAGUCCCCGGGGUGUGUGGUGCAGAAGCAGCUUCUGGCUGUGCUGGGGAUGCCUGACACAUUUUUGGCCAAGGGAAGAGCCAGCCAAAGGGCAGCCGGUGCCAGCGGGGCCGUGCAGAGCGGGUCUGUGCCCAGGCAAAGCAGCCACGACAGAACCGCAGGUUCUUCUCUUUAAUGCAGAUGUGCACAUCACAGUGUCAGGCACAACCUUCAAAGGGGGAGAGAUGGACUUCAGUUUGCUUGAGCCCAACGUCGUCGGCUCCAGCAACUGUGGCACCCACGGCAGGUCCGGACCCCUGUCCCGGUUCAGCACAGGAGGGGUUCAGCCGUGCUGGAAUUGUUCCUGGUCACCAGGGUCAGUGCUGACACUGCUCGCUCGCAGGACGGUCAGAGGAGCCUUUAAGGAAAGAGCAGCAGCCUCUCGUAAAGGCAGUGUCGUUCAACAAAUUUACCAUUAAAAAGGCCCAGUAAUGCCAAACAAAUAAAUAAUUUCUCCUCUACAAUGCAAA
Molecule: long non-coding RNA, 872 nt
Organism: Harpia harpyja (harpy eagle)
Lineage: Eukaryota; Metazoa; Chordata; Aves; Accipitriformes; Accipitridae
Exons: 2
Source: RefSeq, a predicted model, not a curated record